Long non-coding RNA from Homo sapiens (human), 1257 nucleotides. Ensembl annotates it as long intergenic non-protein coding RNA 2347. Lineage: Eukaryota; Metazoa; Chordata; Mammalia; Primates; Hominidae. The record is from Ensembl.
GGUCACUGGCGGCCUGGUUACUUGGGUCAUCCCUAUCCACAUGGCUUGUGUGAGCUUCCUCACGGCAUGGCAGCCGCAUAGUGGCUGGAGUUCUUACACAGUGCCUGGUUUUCCCCAGAGAGAAAGCAAAAGCUGUUGGACCUCUUAUAGACGGUGACUGGAAUCAUCACAGUGACCCGUUACCACCUUCUCUUGUUCAAGACCAGCUGAAACUGAUUAGAGCCAAGAUAGCCAACCAAAUGACUUCAGGAAGACCUCAGGCUUCAUUAUCAUCUCAUUUCCAUGCUAAAAAAACCCAGCUCCCUAGAACAAUGGGAAAUAUUGGGCACUUCAUCAGGCGAGUUCAGGUGCAUUUCUAGAGAUUGUCCAGGUGCUGGUAACAAUAAUAGAGAACCAUCCAUAUCCACAAGAGGCAGAACCUCUUCCAGCAAAAUGGUGCUGCCUCACCCAAAGGUAUCACUAAGCAUAUAGAUUAUAGAAGCCUGAGAUGGUGAGUGGAAUCUGAAAAUGAAAUCUAACAUUUACCAAAGAUACAGAGAAGGAGGAAGAGACUGGAUUCGUUGUUCCGGCCCCUGAGUCUAGUCAGUCAGUUCUACUCUUGGGCUUUGUAGUUCUGUUCAUCAGUGAACUCUUCUGUUUUGUUGAAACCAGUUGGAGAAGGGUUUCCAGAAACCUGCACUUGAAGAGCAUCAGCUGGCACAGAGAUCUUGGCUGAACCCACUGCUGUGUUUGACUAGGAAUGAGAGUGGGCACACGGAGAGGGCAGCCCACCAGGCAGGUGUGUCUCACAUCACUGGGGAGCCCUUUUCAUUCAAAGAUGACCAGCUUAUAAAAGAUCAGUGAUGGGAAGUCCCAGGUAGGGCCCCCAGGACCUACAGCAGGGGCCAGCAAAGAAUGGUCAGCCGUCUCUCUACUGGGUCAGAAAGAAAUAAUGAAAGGGGCUGAACUUGGCCAUGUGAGCUGUCCAGCAUGGAUGCCAGACCAGACCAAAAUCCAGAUUCAGACAGCUGCUCCCUAUAGCAGGGGAAACCCCAAACACAGACAAGACAAAGCAGCAGAGCAACUUCCUUACCCAGACCACUGGCAGUCCCAAUCCUUCUCCACCCCUCAGGUUGCCUGGUUACUGGACAUGCGGACAUUCACUUUGAUUAUGCUCCAUUCGAGAAUGCUAGAAUGAAAAUGUGGGUAAAUGGUGAAGGAAUUCAAGGAAAAGAAAAUGCACCCACCAUGUUUAUGUUAUAAUACCAUGCUGGACCA